This 96-nucleotide ribosomal RNA is filed under the name Methanobacteriota archaeon. Its description in RNAcentral is "Euryarchaeota archaeon partial 16S ribosomal RNA". It matches the Rfam family "Bacterial small subunit ribosomal RNA", at positions 1 to 89 of the family's 1533-position model. Lineage: Archaea; Methanobacteriati; Methanobacteriota. The record is from RNAcentral.
AAACUAUACAAUGGAGAGUUUGAUCCUGGCUCAGGACGAACGCUGGCGGCGUGCUUAACACAUGCAAGUCAAGGAGAACGUUUUCUUCGGAGAACA